This 496-nucleotide ribosomal RNA is filed under the name uncultured bacterium. Its description in RNAcentral is "partial 16S ribosomal RNA". It matches the Rfam family "Bacterial small subunit ribosomal RNA", at positions 29 to 507 of the family's 1533-position model. The record is from RNAcentral.
AUGAACGCUGGCGGCGUGCCUAAUACAUGCAAGUCGCGCGAACAGAUAAGGAGCUUGCUCCUUUGACGUUAGCGGCGGACGGGUGAGUAACACGUGGGUAACCUACCUAUAAGACUGGGAUAACUUCGGGAAACCGGAGCUAAUACCGGAUAACAUUUGGAACCGCAUGGUUCUAAAGUGAAAGAUGGUUUUGCUAUCACUUAUAGAUGGACCCGCGCCGUAUUAGCUAGUUGGUAAGGUAACGGCUUACCAAGGCAACGAUACGUAGCCGACCUGAGAGGGUGAUCGGCCACACUGGAACUGAGACACGGUCCAGACUCCUACGGGAGGCAGCAGUAGGGAAUCUUCCGCAAUGGGCGAAAGCCUGACGGAGCAACGCCGCGUGAGUGAUGAAGGGUUUCGGCUCGUAAAACUCUGUUAUUAGGGAAGAACAAAUGUGUAAGUAACUGUGCACGUCUUGACGGUACCUAAUCAGAAAGCCACGGCUAACUACGUG